Eptesicus fuscus (big brown bat) is the source of this 119-nucleotide small nucleolar RNA. RefSeq annotates it as small nucleolar RNA SNORA17. The record is from RefSeq and is a predicted model, not a curated record. Lineage: Eukaryota; Metazoa; Chordata; Mammalia; Chiroptera; Vespertilionidae. The transcript has a single exon.
AGUGUCCCCUCAGGAGUUGGACUGCUUGCUAUGAUGUGUGCUGACCUCUAGGGGGAGGCAUGGAAAAAGGAAGGCCCCGAUCAGCCCAGAUCACUGGCCAGGCCUAAGGACCCUACCUG